UGAGUGCGAGCGGCUAUGGCCGCGAAGUGGGUGAUGUCAAGCUUCCAAGAAAAGCCCUAUACCCGUUAAGGCAUGAUGGCCUGUACCCGAAACCGACACAGGUGGGGUGGUAGAGAAUACCGAGGGGCGCGAGGUAACUCUCUCUAAGGAACUCGGCAAAAUGGCCCCGUAACUUCGGGAGAAGGGGUGCCACCGCAAGGUGGUCGCAGUGAAGAGGCCCAGGCGACUGUUUACCAAAAACACAGGUCUCCGCUAAGUCGCAAGACGAUGUAUGGGGGCUGACGCCUGCCCAGUGCCGGAAGGUUAAGGAAGCUGGUCAGCGCAAGCGAAGCUGGCGACUGAAGCCCCGGUGAACGGCGGCCGUAACUAUAACGGUCCUAAGGUAGCGAAAUUCCUUGUCGGGUAAGUUCCGACCCGCACGAAAGGCGUAACGAUCUGGGCGCUGUCUCGGAGAGAGGCUCGGCGAAAUAGAAUUGUCUGUGAAGAUGCGGACUACGUGCACCCGGACAGAAAGACCCUAUGAAGCUUUACUGUAGCUUGGUAUUGUGCCCGGGCUCUGAAUGCGCAGGAUAGGUGGGAGGCUUUGAUCCAUGGCUUGCGGGUCAUGGUGAGCCAACGGUGAGAUACCACUCUUUCAGAGCUAGGGUUCUAACGGUCACCCGUCAUCCGGGGACCGGACAGUAUCAGGUGGGCAGUUUGACUGGGGCGGUCGCCUCCUAAAAGGUAACGGAGGCGCGCAAAGGUUUGCUCAGGCUGGUUGGAAAUCAGCCGACGAGUGCAAAAGCAGAAGCAAGCUUGACUGUGAGACCUACAAGUCGAACAGGGACGAAAGUCGGCUUUAGUGAUCCGACGGUUCUGAGUGGAAGGGCCGUCGCUCAACGGAUAAAAGUUACUCUAAGGAUAACAGGCUGAUCUCCCUCAAGAGUUCACAUCGACGGGGAGGUUUGGCACCUCGAUGUCGGCUCAUCGCAACCUGGGGCUGAAGUCGGUCCCAAGGGUUGGGCUGUUCGCCCAUUAAAGCGGUACGCGAGCUGGGUUCAGAACGUCGUGAGACAGUUCGGUCCAUAUCCGGUGCACGCGCAGGAACAUUGAGAGGAUUUCUCCCUAGUACGAGAGGACCGGGAGGAACGCACCUCUGGUGUGCCAGUUAUCGUGCCAACGGUAAACGCUGGGUAGCCAUGUGCGGAGUGGAUAACCGCUGAAAGCAUCUAAGUGGGAAGCCCACCUCAAGAUGAGUGUUCCCAUGGCAUAAGCCAGUAAGGUCACGGGAAGAACACCCGUUGAUAGGCUCUACGUGGAAGCCGGGUAACCGGUGAAGCGGAGGAGUCCUAAUAGACCGAGGGC
RNAcentral lists this ribosomal RNA (1344 nucleotides) under metagenome. RNAcentral's name for it is "bacterial LSU rRNA". It matches the Rfam family "Bacterial large subunit ribosomal RNA", at positions 1564 to 2912 of the family's 2925-position model. The record is from RNAcentral.